Molecule: long non-coding RNA, 126 nt
Organism: Etheostoma cragini (Arkansas darter)
Lineage: Eukaryota; Metazoa; Chordata; Actinopteri; Perciformes; Percidae
Exons: 3
Source: RefSeq, a predicted model, not a curated record
AAUAGUGUGUUUGUUUGGGACUCCUUUCAGCUGCAGAUUAAUCCACAUUUGGUGCUCUAGUGAGUAUUUGUGGCAGCAGGAUGGUGUGUGUGGAUUUGACUCAAUGUAAACUACAGGGUGUGUGCU